This 1372-nucleotide ribosomal RNA is filed under the name Cryobacterium sp. Sr8. RNAcentral's name for it is "16S ribosomal RNA". It matches the Rfam family "Bacterial small subunit ribosomal RNA". Lineage: Bacteria; Bacillati; Actinomycetota; Actinomycetes; Micrococcales; Microbacteriaceae. The record is from RNAcentral.
CUUACACAUGCAGUCGUACGGUGAAGAGAGGAAUGCUUCUUGGAUCAGUGGCGAACGGGUGAGUAACACGUGAGCAAUCUGCCCUUGACUCUGGGAUAAGCGUUGGAAACGACGUCUAAUACCGGAUACGACCCUCGGAGGCAUCUCCUGGGGGUGGAAAGAAUUUUGGUCAAGGAUGAGCUCGCGGCCUAUCAGCUAGUUGGUGAGGUAAUGGCUCACCAAGGCGACGACGGGUAGCCGGCCUGAGAGGGUGACCGGCCACACUGGGACUGAGACACGGCCCAGACUCCUACGGGAGGCAGCAGUGGGGAAUAUUGCACAAUGGGCGAAAGCCUGAUGCAGCAACGCCGCGUGAGGGACGAAGGCCUUCGGGUUGUAAACCUCUUUUAGUAGGGAAGAAGCGAAAGUGACGGUACCUGCAGAAAAAGCACCGGCUAACUACGUGCCAGCAGCCGCGGUAAUACGUAGGGUGCAAGCGUUGUCCGGAAUUAUUGGGCGUAAAGAGCUCGUAGGCGGUUUGUCGCGUCUGCUGUGAAAACCCGAGGCUCAACCUCGGGCCUGCAGUGGGUACGGGCAGACUAGAGUGCGGUAGGGGAGAUUGGAAUUCCUGGUGUAGCGGUGGAAUGCGCAGAUAUCAGGAGGAACACCAAUGGCGAAGGCAGAUCUCUGGGCCGUAACUGACGCUGAGGAGCGAAAGCAUGGGGAGCGAACAGGAUUAGAUACCCUGGUAGUCCAUGCCGUAAACGUUGGGAACUAGAUGUGGGGACCAUUCCACGGUCUCCGUGUCGCAGCUAACGCAUUAAGUUCCCCGCCUGGGGAGUACGGCCGCAAGGCUAAAACUCAAAGGAAUUGACGGGGGCCCGCACAAGCGGCGGAGCAUGCGGAUUAAUUCGAUGCAACGCGAAGAACCUUACCAAGGCUUGACAUAUAGAGGAAACGGCUGGAAACAGUCGCCCCGCAAGGUCUCUAUACAGGUGGUGCAUGGUUGUCGUCAGCUCGUGUCGUGAGAUGUUGGGUUAAGUCCCGCAACGAGCGCAACCCUCGUCCUAUGUUGCCAGCACGUAAUGGUGGGAACUCAUGGGAUACUGCCGGGGUCAACUCGGAGGAAGGUGGGGAUGACGUCAAAUCAUCAUGCCCCUUAUGUCUUGGGCUUCACGCAUGCUACAAUGGCCGGUACAAAGGGCUGCAAUACCGUAAGGUGGAGCGAAUCCCAAAAAGCCGGUCUCAGUUCGGAUUGAGGUCUGCAACUCGACCUCAUGAAGUCGGAGUCGCUAGUAAUCGCAGAUCAGCAACGCUGCGGUGAAUACGUUCCCGGGCCUUGUACACACCGCCCGUCAAGUCAUGAAAGUCGGUAACACCCGAAGCCAGUAGC